Molecule: ribosomal RNA, 491 nt
Filed under: uncultured bacterium
Lineage: Bacteria
Description: partial 16S ribosomal RNA
Rfam family: Bacterial small subunit ribosomal RNA
Source: RNAcentral
AGUGAACGCUGGCGGUAGACCUAACACAUGCAAGUCGAACGGCAGCACAGUAAGAGCUUGCUCUUACGGGUGGCGAGUGGCGGACGGGUGAGGAAUACAUCGGAAUCUACUUUUUCGUGGGGGAUAACGUAGGGAAACUUACGCUAAUACCGCAUACGACCUACGGGUGAAAGCAGGGGAUCUUCGGACCUUGCGCGAUUGAAUGAGCCGAUGUCGGAUUAGCUAGUUGGCGGGGUAAAGGCCCACCAAGGCGACGAUCCGUAGCUGGUCUGAGAGGAUGAUCAGCCACACUGGAACUAGAAAACGGUCCAGACUCCUACGGGAGGCAGCAGUGGGGAAUAUUGGACAAUGGGCGCAAGCCUGAUCCAGCCAUACCGCGUGGGUGAAGAAGGCCUUCGGGUUGUAAAGCCCUUUUGUUGGGAAAGAAAAGAAGCAGGUUAAUACCCCGCUGUUCUGACGGUACCCAAAGAAUAAGCACCGGCUAACUUCGU